This 75-nucleotide ribosomal RNA is filed under the name uncultured ectomycorrhiza (Lactarius pseudomucidus). Its description in RNAcentral is "partial 28S ribosomal RNA". Lineage: Eukaryota; Fungi; Basidiomycota; Agaricomycetes; Russulales; Russulaceae. The record is from RNAcentral.
UUGACCUUCAAAUCGGGUGGAGAACUACCCGCUGAACUUAGCAUAUCAUAAGCGGAGGAAAGAACUACAAGGAUC